Molecule: ribosomal RNA, 1017 nt
Filed under: uncultured bacterium
Lineage: Bacteria
Description: bacterial SSU rRNA
Rfam family: Bacterial small subunit ribosomal RNA
Source: RNAcentral
GAGCGGUAGAGAGGAGCUUGCUUCUCUUGAGAGCGGCGGACGGGUGAGUAAUGCCUAGGAAUCUGCCUGGUAGUGGGGGAUAACGUUCGGAAACGGACGCUAAUACCGCAUACGUCCUACGGGAGAAAGCAGGGGACCUUCGGGCCUUGCGCUAUCAGAUGAGCCUAGGUCGGAUUAGCUAGUUGGUGGGGUAAUGGCUCACCAAGGCGACGAUCCGUAACUGGUCUGAGAGGAUGAUCAGUCACACUGGAACUGAGACACGGUCCAGACUCCUACGGGAGGCAGCAGUGGGGAAUAUUGGACAAUGGGCGAAAGCCUGAUCCAGCCAUGCCGCGUGUGUGAAGAAGGUCUUCGGAUUGUAAAGCACUUUAAGUUGGGAGGAAGGGCCAUUACCUAAUACGUGAUGGUUUUGACGUUACCGACAGAAUAAGCACCGGCUAACUCUGUGCCAGCAGCCGCGGUAAUACAGAGGGUGCAAGCGUUAAUCGGAAUUACUGGGCGUAAAGCGCGCGUAGGUGGUUUGUUAAGUUGGAUGUGAAAUCCCCGGGCUCAACCUGGGAACUGCAUUCAAAACUGACUGACUAGAGUAUGGUAGAGGGUGGUGGAAUUUCCUGUGUAGCGGUGAAAUGCGUAGAUAUAGGAAGGAACACCAGUGGCGAAGGCGACCACCUGGACUGAUACUGACACUGAGGUACGAAAGCGUGGGGAGCAAACAGGAUUAGAUACCCUGGUAGUCCACGCCGUAAACGAUGUCAACUAGCCGUUGGGAGCCUUGAGCUUUUAGUGGCGCAGCUAACGCAUUAAGUUGACCGCCUGGGGAGUACGGCCGCAAGGUUAAAACUCAAAUGAAUUGACGGGGGCCCGCACAAGCGGUGGAGCAUGUGGUUUAAUUCGAAGCUACGCGAAGAACCUUACCAGGCCUUGACAUCCAAUGAACUUUCUAGAGAUAGAUUGGUGCCUUCGGGAACAUUGAGACAGGUGCUGCAUGGCUGUCGUCAGCUCGUGCCGUAAGGUGUU